UUUGGGGAUGCUAUGGCAG
RNAcentral lists this unclassified non-coding RNA (19 nucleotides) under Chlamydomonas reinhardtii. Its description in RNAcentral is "small RNA Cre_4155". The record is from RNAcentral. Lineage: Eukaryota; Viridiplantae; Chlorophyta; Chlorophyceae; Chlamydomonadales; Chlamydomonadaceae.